RNAcentral lists this long non-coding RNA (1242 nucleotides) under Homo sapiens (human). Its description in RNAcentral is "HSALNT0375894". The record is from RNAcentral. Lineage: Eukaryota; Metazoa; Chordata; Mammalia; Primates; Hominidae.
GUCGCUGGUCCCCGGCAACACGGCUCAGGCAAACGUAAGCGGCUUGUCGCAGAAACCAAGGGGUCCACGAAACGCGCUAGGCUAGAAGGCGGGAAGGAGAGAUUACUGACAGCCGUGCCAGCCAAUAAAAUAGAAAUCAACAGUGAGAGCUCAGAAAUUCCCAGACUGUUUUGAUGAUAAGGUCCAAGAACUUGCCAUGUGAUCCAUCACUACUAGACUCCCACAACUGCAUUAGAUUUGUUCAGGAUUUUCAUAUAAUUUUCAUAACUGGCUAAGUUCUGAAAUAACCCAUCUUGAAGACAUAAACAAUGUGCAUUGAUGGCUAGCCAGACUCUGUCCUGCCACAGUUCUCCUCCUACUCUUCAUUUCUUACCCCAAGGAGUAGUAAACAUGAAUCCUGACCCACCAAUGCAGUCCCAGAACUGAGAAAAGAUUCACUGCAGCUAAACAGAUUAUUUUUGCACCUUUGGAAAGCAACUGAAAAAGGAAGCCUGGAAAAAAUCCUGCCUAACAAAGCAGCAGUACUCAAAUAGCUUUAACUAUAAGAAAGAACUGAUUCAAGAUAUGAGAAGAGAUUUAAGAUAUAAGAUUAAAUAUAAGUGUAAAUGAUAUCCUCAUUUUUAUUGAAAUGCUGUGUAUUCCUAUUAUUUCAGUGAAAUGUUAAAUGGCAAAGGAUGCAUUUUUUAGAUUAUUUUUUUCACUGAAUUUUAAACAGUCUUUGAAGCAGAUAUUUCAUAUAACAAUAUCCAGAAACAAUAACACAUAUGUGGAUAAAGUUGAGUGGUUGGAUAAUGUAUUGUGCAAAUUAUCAAGAAGAAAACCAUCUUAAAGAAAUAUUUUAGCUUAACAGCAUCAAUAAAUGGGACACCUAGUUCACUUAAAAAAAUUGACAAUGAAUGUUUUCCUCCUUAUACCCCUGAAGGCCUUGGGUUUGGAAUGACAAAAUAUUCAAAUAUUUUGAAAUUAUCUACAUUUUAAAUAUUUAUUCAAGGAGAAUUGAAUCUUGAUUGACAAUUGUGCACAAAUUGCUGAAAUUCAAAAAUUCUAAAUCUCAUGUCAGAUAUUAGGAAAUUUUAAUUUUUCAUUUACUAAAACGGUAAAAAUGUAGACACUAGAAAAAAAUGAAGAAAUGACAAUGUCAUAGAUAAUCAACAAACUGAAUAAUUAGGUGGAAUUACUCAACCCCCAGAUUAGUCCAUUUUCAUGCUGCUGAUAAAGACAUACCCAAGACUGGGCAAUUUA